Molecule: ribosomal RNA, 275 nt
Filed under: uncultured bacterium
Lineage: Bacteria
Description: partial 16S ribosomal RNA
Rfam family: Bacterial small subunit ribosomal RNA
Source: RNAcentral
CCUACGGGUGGCUGCAGUGAGGAAUAUUGCACAAUGGGCGAAAGCCUGAUGCAGCGACGCCGCGUGGGUGAAGAAGGCCUUCGGGUCGUAAAGCCCUUUUCUGCGUGACGAGAGAAGGACGGUAGCGCAGGAAUAAGUCUCGGCUAACUACGUGCCAGCAGCCGCGGUAAGACGUAGGAGGCAAGCGUUAUCCGGAGUUACUGGGCGUAAAGCGCGUGUAGGCGGGUGGAUAAGUGGUUCGUGAAAUAUCCGGGCUAAACUCGGGUAGGUCGAAU